RNAcentral lists this ribosomal RNA (452 nucleotides) under uncultured bacterium. RNAcentral describes it as "bacterial SSU rRNA". It matches the Rfam family "Bacterial small subunit ribosomal RNA", at positions 342 to 791 of the family's 1533-position model. The record is from RNAcentral.
CGGGAGGCAGCAGUAAGGAAUAUUGGUCAAUGGGCGGAAGCCUGAACCAGCCAUGCCGCGUGCAGGAAGACGGCCCUACGGGUUGUAAACUGCUUUUCCGGGGGAAGAAUAAUCCCGACGUGUCGGGAGACGACGGUACCCCGGGAAUAAGGAUCGGCUAACUCCGUGCCAGCAGCCGCGGUAAUACGGAGGAUCCGAGCGUUAUCCGGAUUUACUGGGUUUAAAGGGUGCGUAGGCGGGCCCUUAAGUCAGCGGUGAAAUGCGGGGGCUCGACCUUCGAACGGCCGUUGAUACUGGGCGCCUUGGAUUCGGUCGAGGCGGGCGGAAUGCGACAUGUAGCGGUGAAAUGCUUAGAUAUGUCGCAGAACGCCGAUUGCGAAGGCAGCUCGCCGGGCCGAUAUUGACGCUGAGGCACGAAAGCGUGGGGAUCGAACAGGAUUAGAUACCCUGGU